GGACUACUGGGGUUUCUAAUCCUGUUUGCUCCCCACGCUUUCGCGCCUCAGCGUCAAUGUCGGUCCAGUGAGCCGCCUUCGCCACCGGUGUUCUUCCCAAUCUCUACGAAUUUCACCUCUACACUGGGAAUUCCACUCACCUCUACCGAAUUCAAGUCAAACAGUCUUGAAUGCAAUUCCAAGGUUGAGCCCUGGGCUUUCACAUCCAACUUGUCUAACCGCCUACGCGCCCUUUACGCCCAGUAAUUCCGAACAACGCUAGCUCCCUUCGUAUUACCGCGGCUGCUGGCAC
RNAcentral lists this ribosomal RNA (292 nucleotides) under uncultured bacterium. Its description in RNAcentral is "partial 16S ribosomal RNA". The record is from RNAcentral.